AUUGAACGCUGGCGGCAUGCUUUACACAUGCAAGUCGAACGGUAACAGGCCGCCAGGUGCUGACGAGUGGCGAACGGGUGAGUAAUGCAUCGGAACGUGCCCAGUCGCGGGGGAUAACGCAGCGAAAGCUGUGCUAAUACCGCAUACGAUCUAUGGAUGAAAGCGGGGGACCGCAAGGCCUCGCGCGAUUGGAGCGGACGAUGUCAGAUUAGGUAGUUGGUGGGGUAAAGGCCUACCAAGCCAACGAUCUGUAGCUGGUCUGAGAGGACGACCUGCCACACUGGGACUGAGACACGGCCCAGACUCCUACGGGAGGCCGCAGUGGGGAAUUUUGGACAAUGGGCGCAAGCCUGAUCCAGCAAUGCCGCGUGCAGGAAGAAGGCCUUCGGGUUGUAAACUGCUUUUGUACGGAACGAAACGGUCUGGAUUAAUACCCUGUGCUAAUGACGGUACCGGAAGAAUAAGCACCGGCUAACUACGUG
RNAcentral lists this ribosomal RNA (482 nucleotides) under uncultured bacterium. RNAcentral's name for it is "partial 16S ribosomal RNA". It matches the Rfam family "Bacterial small subunit ribosomal RNA", at positions 30 to 507 of the family's 1533-position model. The record is from RNAcentral.